This 2146-nucleotide ribosomal RNA is filed under the name Cytobacillus citreus. RNAcentral's name for it is "partial 23S ribosomal RNA". It matches the Rfam family "Bacterial large subunit ribosomal RNA", at positions 35 to 2171 of the family's 2925-position model. The record is from RNAcentral. Lineage: Bacteria; Bacillati; Bacillota; Bacilli; Caryophanales; Bacillaceae.
GGCACUAGGAGCCGAUGAAGGACGGGACUAACACCGAUAUGCUUCGGGGAGCUGUAAGUAAGCUUUGAUCCGGAGAUUUCCGAAUGGGGAAACCCCCUAUCCGUAAUGGGAUAGGAUCUUUACCUGAAUACAUAGGGUAUUGAAGGCAGACCCGGGGAACUGAAACAUCUAAGUACCCGGAGGAAGAGAAAGCAAACGCGAUUCCCUGAGUAGCGGCGAGCGAAACGGGAUUAGCCCAAACCAAGAGGCUUGCCUCUUGGGGUUGUAGGACACUCUAUACGGAGUUACAAAGGAACGAGGUAAAUGAACAGGUCUGGAAAGGCCGGCCAUAGAAGGUAAAAGCCCUGUAGUUGAAACUUCGUUCCCUCCAGAGUGGAUCCUGAGUACGGCGGGACACGUGAAAUCCCGUCGGAAGCAGGGAGGACCAUCUCCCAAGGCUAAAUACUCCCUAGUGACCGAUAGUGAACCAGUACCGUGAGGGAAAGGUGAAAAGCACCCCGGAAGGGGAGUGAAAGAGAUCCUGAAACCGUGUGCCUACAAGUAGUCAGAGCCCAUUAACGGGUGAUGGCGUGCCUUUUGUAGAAUGAACCGGCGAGUUACGAUUACAUGCGAGGUUAAGUUGAAGAGACGGAGCCGCAGCGAAAGCGAGUCUGAAUAGGGCGAAUAAGUAUGUGGUCGUAGACCCGAAACCAGGUGACCUACCCAUGUCCAGGUUGAAGUCCAGGUAACACUGGAUGGAGGACCGAACCCACGCACGUUGAAAAGUGCGGGGAUGAGGUGUGGGUAGCGGAGAAAUUCCAAUCGAACUUGGAGAUAGCUGGUUCUCUCCGAAAUAGCUUUAGGGCUAGCCUCAUGUAGUAAGAGUCUUGGAGGUAGAGCACUGUUUGGACUAGGGGCCCUCAUCGGGUUACCGAAUUCAGACAAACUCCGAAUGCCAAAGACUUAUCCAUGGGAGUCAGACUGCGAGUGAUAAGAUCCGUAGUCAAGAGGGAAACAGCCCAGACCACCAGCUAAGGUCCCAAAGUAUACGUUAAGUGGAAAAGGAUGUGGAGUUGCUUAGACAACCAGGAUGUUGGCUUAGAAGCAGCCACCAUUUAAAGAGUGCGUAAUAGCUCACUGGUCGAGUGACUCUGCGCCGAAAAUGUACCGGGGCUAAACGUAUCACCGAAGCUGUGGAUUGACAUCUACGAUGUCAGUGGUAGGAGAGCGUUCUAAGGGCGUUGAAGCUAGACCGUAAGGACUGGUGGAGCGCUUAGAAGUGAGAAUGCCGGUAUGAGUAGCGAAAGAUGGGUGAGAAUCCCAUCCACCGAAUGCCUAAGGUUUCCUGAGGAAGGCUCGUCCGCUCAGGGUUAGUCGGGACCUAAGCCGAGGCUGAAAAGCGUAGGCGAUGGACAACAGGUUGAUAUUCCUGUACCACCUCUUUACCGUUUGAGCAAUGGGGGGACGCAGGAGGAUAGGGUAAGCGCGCUGUUGGAAUAGCGCGUCCAAGCAGUUAGGCUGCAAGCGAGGCAAAUCCCGCUUGCAUAAAGGCUGAGCUGUGACGGCGAGGGAAAUAAAGUACCGAAGUUCCUGAAUCCACACUGCCAAGAAAAGCCUCUAGCGAGGGAAAAGGUGCCCGUACCGCAAACCGACACAGGUAGGCGAGGAGAGAAUCCUAAGGUGAGCGAGAGAACUCUCGUUAAGGAACUCGGCAAAAUCACCCCGUAACUUCGGGAGAAGGGGUGCUCAUUUGGGUGAAUAGCCCGGAUGAGCCGCAGUGAAUAGGCCCAGGCGACUGUUUAGCAAAAACACAGGUCUCUGCGAAGCCGUAAGGCGAAGUAUAGGGGCUGACGCCUGCCCGGUGCUGGAAGGUUAAGAGGAGGGGUUAGCGUAAGCGAAGCUCUGAAUUGAAGCCCCAGUAAACGGCGGCCGUAACUAUAACGGUCCUAAGGUAGCGAAAUUCCUUGUCGGGUAAGUUCCGACCCGCACGAAAGGCGUAACGAUCUGGGCACUGUCUCAACGAGAGACUCGGUGAAAUUAUAGUACCUGUGAAGAUGCAGGUUACCCGCGACAGGACGGAAAGACCCCGUGGAGCUUUACUGUAGCCUGAUAUUGAAUUUCGGUACAGCUUGUACAGGAUAGGUAGGAGCCUUGGAAGCCGGAGCGC